CGAGGAGAAGAGCAGGAGACCGGAGGGUAACACUCAGCUCUGCACAAAUGAGUUGUGAAUGUUGCUGCAACAAAUAUGACUUGGCACUAGCAUCUUCGAUCCUAUGAGCUGUCAGCCAUACAGGGAAGCCUGUCUAUCCACCUGCAAUCU
Long non-coding RNA from Coregonus clupeaformis (lake whitefish), 150 nucleotides. RefSeq lists it as uncharacterized. The transcript has 3 exons. NCBI's taxonomy places the organism in Eukaryota, Metazoa, Chordata, Actinopteri, Salmoniformes, Salmonidae. The record is from RefSeq and is a predicted model, not a curated record.